Molecule: long non-coding RNA, 2670 nt
Filed under: Malus domestica (apple)
Lineage: Eukaryota; Viridiplantae; Streptophyta; Magnoliopsida; Rosales; Rosaceae
Description: long non-coding RNA (MDOM_LNC014208)
Source: RNAcentral
CCUUGCUUAGUUUGUGUUAUUACAUGUCUGCCAUUCGGUGUUGAGUUAUUGAGCUGUCGUUCACUCUCUUCGACAGCACAGCAAGGAAACUCAGUUUCCUCCUCCAUUUGUUCAUUCCUGCUCACUUCAAUUUGAACGAAAAUGAUCCCCACCGAGUCUGGAGGGCUCCUCCAUUCCUCCCUUUGUUUGUGUUAUUACAAGUCUCCAUAUCUCUUCCCUCCGUGACUCAGCUGACGACGACGGGCUAUUUCCGUUUGAAAGCCGGCAAAUCGGACCUCAACGUUUGACCAAUCGUCUCCCUUUCAUCUCAGGAACAAGAAACAGCCGUUGCAUGCCUCGAUUUGUUACGGUUUCGAUGAGGAUUUUUUAAUACUCCUCAGAGUUUUCCUACGUUUAUGCGAUGAUUCCGGCGAAGGUCGUCGUCGAUGUUGGUCUCAAACUAUUCCUCAGCACCUCAGGUACCUUCUUCAUCUAUUGUAUGUAAAGAUUCUGCUUCAAAUAUUUGAUUUAAUAUAAAUGGGUUUUAUUUAAUUUUUCAUAUUUUUUUCCUUCAAAAUUCUGGGUUGUGCACAAAUUUUCGUUAGCAGGUCUCAAUCAAAGUUGUGUAUGCUUUGUGCAGAGAGAGAAAGCGGCUGGGAUAUGAGAAAUAAGCGUUUUUACAAAAUCUUAAUAUACCAGUGCGAGUGAAGUGUGUCUGUUUAGUACUAAUAUUUCAGUUCAAGUAAAGUUUACUGCAUUUUUCUACAAAUAGGUACGAUAAUGGUUUAUAGAUUCCCUAUUUAUAUCAUUGGAAUAUAUUUGUUCAAAGUAAUAUUACAAUGAUUUCGAACAAAGCUUAACCAUAAUAGGCAGUAGACAUUAUAUAUCUGCUAAUUUGUUGAAACUAUUGGUGCUCUAUAAAGAGAUAAAAUAUAUGUUACCCACAAAAUAUAAUGUGAAGAUUAUAAACUGUGAAGGGGAUCUCUUACUUCAUUGGAACAGGAACUGACGUAGAACUACGGAUAGAACCCCGGUAUCUACUUAUAUGUUGAGUUACACACUAAAUCUAUAAAUACUUUUUACAGAUAACAUGCAAAUUUCCUUCUUUCAGUCUGUUGUAUGCCUAUGACGUGAUAAACAUAUAAAAAGUUUGCGAAAAUUGAUGGCUCAUGUCAUAACAAAUACUUUUUCAAAUUCUAAGUUUUUAUCCGCUUUCGCUCUUUUUUGUUCAAUGGUUUCAAUUAAUUGCUUUUAGUAUAACAUGCCCAUAUGUUACCGGUUCUAUGUUACCGAGUAUAGCUUGAGGUUAUGAAUGUCCCUGAAAGCACCUUAAUUUUGUGUAUAAUUUAAGUUUUUGCAUUGUGAAGAUGAGCAAGUUGGCAUCUAGGAGUGCAUGUCACGUGAAGAUGAUAUUGGAGGCCUUACAGGUAGAAUCGUUCAGGUCAUUAUUUUGAGGAUUUGAUUUGAUUUGUUUUUUUUUUUUUCUCUUUAUUACUAAGAUUUUUCCUAACCACUUUACAUAUGGGGCUACCAAAAAACAUUGAAUUGGCACCAAAAUGGCCGUAAUUUUCAUUUUACAUAAUUUUUGCAAUCCUUUGUUGAAAUAUGCAGCACAUGGUAGGAGAUAAUUCUUCUUCAUUGUGAACAUUCAGGUAAAUCUGUCUUUCAUGGGUUUUUCUAUUAUUCUUUGCAGUUUUUCCCUGUUGCUUGCCAUUAAUUACCAAAUUAUCUAUGUGAACUAGGUCCAAGUUCAACUACUUAUGGUUUGGCACUAUACUAUAUGAUGAAUUCUCCAAUCGAAGAUACACCCUUGCUACAGAGUUUUAUCAAGGGGGAUGAUUUAUAUGAAAUUCAAGGUUUAACUUCUAACUGAUUCUUCUCUCCUCAGGGUUCAUGGAUUGUUAAGCAAUGUGUGGGAAGAAAGCAUGCCUCAUUGACCAGGCACUUGAAAUCAAUUAUUUCCACGAGAAGAACUAUUUGGAGGUAUAUCAAUUUUUAGCAUGCUUUUAUAUAUGUUCUUUGAUCACCCUACUUUGUGGACAGCUUAUUGACACUUCACUGAAAUUCAAGGCCUUCUGUUUUCGGGUUCAAUUUGUUAGAGUAUAUAGAGUUAAGGUGAUUCCAAGUGUCACAUGAUUUGUCUAUAUAUUUGUGAGGUUCAAUCAAUGUCAUAUGAAGAUGGUAGCAUGUGUUACAAGAUUAAACCAUCUCAGUAUAGUGUCAAGAUGCAGUUAGUGAGUCAGUUAUUUUAGAGGGAUAUAAUCCUCACUCAUUGUGUAGUAUUGUUUUUGGUAAUUAAUUAAUUAUUUUAAAUGCAAUAUCAUGAAUAUUUAUACUCAUUUAUAUAUUUGUAAAGAACAUCAGAACACACGAAUGUAAUAUAUGUACAUAUUAAACACUACUCCUUAACACAUAUAUUUUCUACACUUUCUACAUUUUCAACAAUUUUCUAAACCCCGCAGCAACGCGCGAGUACACUUGCUUGUAUUGGUUCUAUUGCUGUCAUUAAGAGCACAACUGGUAGUGCUUGUUGCCACGUAUGCUUGUAUGCUACCUUCCCAGCUUUUGGUGUAUUCUUUCUUCUUUUUUUUCGGUAACAAGCUUUUGGUGUAUCCAAUUCAACUAUAUUCUUCCGUUGACGACAAGUAUGACAAUAUAUAUGACAUUGUUCCUUGCAUUACAACAACAACA